GGAUUAGAUACCCUGGUAGUCCACGCCGUAAACGAUGGACACUAGCUGUUGGGUUUUCGGACUCAGUGGCUAAGCGAAAGUGAUAAGUGUCCCACCUGGGGAGUACGAUCGCAAGAUUGAAACUCAAAGGAAUUGACGGGGGCCCGCACAAGCGGUGGAGCAUGUGGUUUAAUUCGAUGAUACGCGAGGAACCUUACCAGGGCUUAAAUGUAGAUUGCAUAGAUCAGAGACGGUCUUUUCUUCGGACUAUCUACAAGGUGCUGCAUGGUUGUCGUCAGCUCGUGCCG
This 287-nucleotide ribosomal RNA is filed under the name uncultured bacterium. RNAcentral's name for it is "partial 16S ribosomal RNA". It matches the Rfam family "Bacterial small subunit ribosomal RNA", at positions 775 to 1067 of the family's 1533-position model. The record is from RNAcentral.